UACGGAAGGCAGCAGUGGGGAAUAUUGCACAAUGGGCGAAAGCCUGAUGCAGCUAUGCCGCGUGUAUGAAGAAGGCCUUAGGGUUGUAAAGUACUUUCAUCGGGGAGGAAAAAACAAAACUAAUAAUUUUAUUUCUUGACGUUACCCGAAAAAGAAGCACCGGCUAACUCCGUGCCAGCAGCCGCGGUAAUACGGAGGGUGCUAGCGUUAAUCAGAAUUACUGGGCGUAAAGAGCACGUAGGUGGUUUUUUUAAAGUCAGAUGUGAAAUCCCUGGGCUUAACCUAGGAACUGCAUUUUGAAACUGAAAUACUAGAGUAUCGUAGAGGGAGGUAGAAUUCUAGGUGUAGCGGUGAAAUGCGUAGAUAUCUGGAGAAAUACCUGCGGCGAAAGCGGCCUCCUAAACGAAUACUGACACUGAGGUGCGAAAGCGUGGGGAGCAAACAGGGAUUAGAUACC
This 457-nucleotide ribosomal RNA is filed under the name uncultured bacterium. Its description in RNAcentral is "bacterial SSU rRNA". It matches the Rfam family "Bacterial small subunit ribosomal RNA", at positions 340 to 786 of the family's 1533-position model. The record is from RNAcentral.